UACGUAGGGUGCGAGCGUUAAUCGGAAUUACUGGGCGUAAAGCGUGCGCAGGCGGUUUUGCAAGCCGGAUGUGAAAUCCCCGGGCUUAACCUGGGAAUGGCAUUUGGGACUGCAAGGCUGGAGUGCGGCAGAGGAGACUGGAAUUCCUGGUGUAGCAGUGAAAUGCGUAGAUAUCAGGAGGAACACCGAUGGCGAAGGCAGGUCUCUGGGCUGACACUGACGCUCAUGCACGAAAGCGUGGGGAGCAAACAGG
This 253-nucleotide ribosomal RNA is filed under the name uncultured bacterium. RNAcentral describes it as "partial 16S ribosomal RNA". It matches the Rfam family "Bacterial small subunit ribosomal RNA", at positions 524 to 776 of the family's 1533-position model. The record is from RNAcentral.